RNAcentral lists this ribosomal RNA (447 nucleotides) under uncultured bacterium. Its description in RNAcentral is "bacterial SSU rRNA". It matches the Rfam family "Bacterial small subunit ribosomal RNA", at positions 331 to 792 of the family's 1533-position model. The record is from RNAcentral.
CCAGACUCCUACGGGAGGCAGCAGUGGGGGAUAUUGCACAAUGGGGGGAACCCUGAUGCAGCGACGCCGCGUGAGUGAAGACGGCCUUCGGGUUGUAAAGCUCUGUCAAUCGGGACGAAGAAGAUGACGGUACCGAUGAAGGAAGCUCCGGCUAACUACGUGCCAGCAGCCGCGGUAAUACGUAGGGAGCAAGCGUUGUCCGGAUUUACUGGGUGUAAAGGGUGCGUAGGCGGCCCUGCAAGUCAGAAGUGAAAUCCAUGGGCUUAACCCGUGAACUGCUUUUGAAACUGUAGGGCUUGAGUGAAGUAGAGGCAGGCGGAAUUCCCGGUGUAGCGGUGAAAUGCGUAGAGAUCGGGAGGAACACCAGUGGCGAAGGCGGCCUGCUGGGCUUUAACUGACGCUGAAGCACGAAAGCGUGGGUAGCAAACAGGAUUAGAUACCCGCGUA